Molecule: ribosomal RNA, 509 nt
Filed under: Plesionika quasigrandis
Lineage: Eukaryota; Metazoa; Arthropoda; Malacostraca; Decapoda; Pandalidae
Description: partial large subunit ribosomal RNA
Rfam family: Bacterial large subunit ribosomal RNA (bases 139-509)
Source: RNAcentral
GGGUUGCGACCUCGAUGUUGAAUUAAAGUAUCCUUAUGGUGCAGCAGUUAUAAGGGAGGGUCUGUUCGACCUUUAAUUCUUUACGUGAUCUGAGUUCAGACCGGAGACAUGUCUCUUGUAUAGCUUUUGAAGUUUACUUUUAAGUGAAAAGGCUUAAAUAGAUCUUGGGGGACAGAUAAGACCCUAUAAAACUUUACAGUUUCACUUUUGCUUUUUGAAUUAAGGUUUAAAAUUAGACAUGAGUGGUCUGUUGUGUUGUGGCGACAAAGAUAAAACAAAGUAACUGUCAGGAAAAAAAAAUAAAAAUAAUUAUAGUAGUUGAUCCUUUGGUUAGAGAUUAAAAGAUUAAGUUACUUUAGGGAUAACAGCGUAAUUCUCUUUGAGAGUUCUUAUCGACAAGAGUAGUUGCGACCUCGAUGUUGAAUUAAGGGUUCUUUCAGGUGUAGCAGCUUGAGUUAGUGGGUCUGUUCGACCCUUAAAACCUUACGUGAUCUGAGUUCAGACCGGAG